Papaver somniferum (opium poppy) is the source of this 363-nucleotide long non-coding RNA. RefSeq lists it as uncharacterized. The record is from RefSeq and is a predicted model, not a curated record. NCBI's taxonomy places the organism in Eukaryota, Viridiplantae, Streptophyta, Magnoliopsida, Ranunculales, Papaveraceae. The transcript has 4 exons.
GAAGAAGAAGAUGCAUCGUUAUGAUUUACGACGAGAAGAUUGUUUGUGUUUCCAGAAGCGUUGGGUAUCUUUAGAGAGAUGAGAAUUGAAGGAGUUAAAUUGGAAUUGCAUGACUGUAUCUUACUCAUUGCUGGUGCUCCACUUGGUGAAGAAUUGAAGGGGAUUUUGAUUCAUGUGUGAAGGUGGGAACCCGUUCUGCGUUACUCAACUUUGGAUCACCAUUGGAUGCAUCUCAGCUAUAUAAAUUACUCCAUGCCCUUCAUCCACAUCCUCAUUAGAAGAAAAAUUAGCAGGCAGAGGUGCACCUGGAACAUAUUUGUACUCUACCUGGAAGCAGUGCAGCAAAUAUGUACUCGAAUUUGU